AUGUUCAAAUUCCUGUUAUGCAGAAUAGCAUGGCUGGCGACAUAUGUGUCGAUAUGAUCUUGAGCCGAUCAUACACACGUCUCGACAAGUGGCUGGCAGAUGCAUUGUCACUCAGUGCCCCCCUCUUCAAUUCACUGU
Molecule: non-coding RNA, 138 nt
Organism: Caenorhabditis elegans
Lineage: Eukaryota; Metazoa; Nematoda; Chromadorea; Rhabditida; Rhabditidae
Source: Ensembl